This 433-nucleotide transfer RNA is filed under the name coccoid cyanobacterium Hutten-14142-NP4. RNAcentral describes it as "16S-23S ribosomal RNA intergenic spacer". The stretch from base 191 to 263 matches the Rfam family "tRNA". Lineage: Bacteria; Bacillati; Cyanobacteriota. The record is from RNAcentral.
UUUAGGGAGACCUACCCGUCAGCAGCAGCGAUGCAACUGAUGUGGUCAUCCCAGGUCGGUCGAAGCAAAAGUGCAGGCUUUUCAACUAUAAUGGGUUUGGCAACAAGGGCUAUUAGCUCAGGUGGUUAGAGCGCACCCCUGAUAAGGGUGAGGUCCCUGGUUCGAGUCCAGGAUGGCCCACCUAAAGUGUGGGGGUAUAGCUCAGUUGGUAGAGCGCCUGCUUUGCAAGCAGGAUGUCAGCGGUUCGAGUCCGCUUACCUCCACUACGGUCUAAAGUUGUAAAAAAGGGAUAUCAGCACCGGGCGAAGAGCCAGGAUGCUGGUUAAUACCAGUCAGGACCUUGAAAACUGCAUAAGAAGAAGCGUGAAAGAAAAGUCAAGGUAGGUAGAACUAUCAAGAAACAGAUAGCUCUGAAGAAGUUGACAAGAGAAGU